AUUUACUAACUGCUAACUGCCGCUAAACACAGGCCAGAACCAGAACCGAACUAUUAUACAUAAGUGAACCUACUAGAAAGCUUCUGAACACGCUCUUUGUGCAAGAGACCUGGAGGGGAAGAGGAAGGCUUGGCGCCUUAAAUCUUUCUUCCCCUACUUUAAAAAAAUCAGGACCAGAGAAGAUAAAUACAACAAAGCCACCUGACACAAAACCCCAGUGCUGAGAGAGGAGGAGAGGCCACAGUGAGCCUUCCCUGAGGAAGUGACCCAAUAAUAAGUACCCACUAGCUAAGGCACUCGCCCCUCAGGAGCUGUGUGAUGCUGGAUAUCCUGUAUCCCUCUCUGAGCACGGUUUCUCUCUAUUAUAAAACAGGAAUAGAAUGGUCACUGAGAAGAUCCCCAGAGAGAGCCAAGCUCCUUGGUAAACUGUAAAGUACUGUGACACACAAUGAGCAUCACCAUUCUUUCAAAGUCAGCAAAGUACAGGCUGUGUUGGGACUGAACACAUCACAGUAUUGAAGUCCCCGGGAAAGAGCCAGGAGCAGCCACCUGGGAUUUGCAUGCCUCUAAAGCUCCGGCCCUUCUCUUCCCAUGUUGUUUAGCCUCUGGUCAGCACAGGGGGAUUUCCUGGCUGAGAAGUCAAGUUCAAUGCCAUCGACUUGAUAUUUUUCUUUAAACCAACUGACUUUUCCUCUGAAAAUAAAUUGGGUCCUGACCUAACCUAAUCAACACCUGCGCUGUCACAGAUCUGAGGUACUAACUGCUGUCUUCAGAUACAUUACACUGAAUACAGACAUGCUGGACAUUUCUAACGAUCUCCCAUGGACCACCGAAUGUCUGUGGACCCCCCAGGAGUACGCAGAUGGAUCCUGACCUGGCCCAACCCCCAAUUGUUCAGAUGGGAAUCUGAAGCCCAGAGAGAGACUGUCACUCCCACAAGGUCACACAGCGAAUUAGCCAUCGGUCAGCAGCUGUGACCCAGUUCUUCCGGCUCCCAGGCCAGUGCUCGUUCCACAGCAAGCUUCCAACCCGCCCCCCCCAAUCAGGAGCAAAAGUUCUCACGCCCUGGCACAUCCUCUCCAAAAAAAGAAAAAGAAAAAUUUUUUCUGAAGGACAGAGAAGCCAGCUCCGUUUCUGCCUCCCUGAAGCUCUGGAGGGCCUGAGGAGACCAGGGCCCAGAGCCUUCGACCCUCGAGGUCUGCGUGCUCCCUCCCCCUGC
Molecule: long non-coding RNA, 1219 nt
Filed under: Marmota monax (woodchuck)
Lineage: Eukaryota; Metazoa; Chordata; Mammalia; Rodentia; Sciuridae
Source: RNAcentral